Molecule: non-coding RNA, 856 nt
Organism: Pelobates cultripes (western spadefoot toad)
Lineage: Eukaryota; Metazoa; Chordata; Amphibia; Anura; Pelobatidae
Source: the annotation of a GenBank genome assembly
CAGCAACAAUCUGUUGUAUAUCUGUUCUUAGCAGCACAUUUCCAUAGGAAACCCCAGGUUUACAAGUCAAUUUCACAAACAAAAUCCAUUUAUAUAUUUUUUUUUCUACAAAGUUAAACAAAAUUUAGCCUAGCUUUUGAAAAGAAUUAGCUAAAACAUAAAGUAAAAAGGCAUACUUUUUAAACAGUAACAAUUCUCAAAUGAGUAUUAAAUCUUUCUUAUUGCAGUCUGGUUUAGGAUUAAACCUUUUUUUCCCCCACUUUAGUCUCCCAAGCAUUUGUUUAUCCAGUAUUUUGUGAUGUCAAUAAGGACUUUUCUUUUAACCCCUUAAGGACCAAACAUCUGGAAUAAAAGGGAAUCAUGACAUGUCACACAUGUCAUGUGUCCUUAAGGGGUUAAAGAAAAUUAGAGAGUAUUCUAAUCCAACAACAAAGAUCAAGGUUGGUCAUCAUUUGUGAUUGUUUUAAUGGAACUGCCAUUCCUAACCCAAUAGCAGUAGUUUUAUUUCAUGAACACUCCACCAUAUUGACUACAAAAAGCUUUAGUGGUCAUGCCAGGAGUGGCUGAUACCCCCACAAGUAAGUAGCCAAACCAUUUCAGUUUGACUUUGUAGUGGAGGUCAGCUGUGCAUCACUCCCCUACUCUUCUUCUUCCAACAGAGAACCAGCAGCUCUUUGAGCCUCUAGAAUGGGAAAUGCAAGAGCACUCCUUGCACCAAAACCACUACAAUGCGCAGCUGUAGGUAUGUUGCUUGGAGUGCUCAUUUAAAUCCAUUUUUGUCUCAUAAAAUGAACAUAGUUAGAAAAAAAAAAAAAAGAGAACCGGAUAACUUAAUUACUGACCAGUGGCACUACAC